Molecule: ribosomal RNA, 460 nt
Filed under: uncultured bacterium
Lineage: Bacteria
Description: partial 16S ribosomal RNA
Rfam family: Bacterial small subunit ribosomal RNA
Source: RNAcentral
CCUACGGGAGGCAGCAGUGAGGAAUAUUGGUCAAUGGACGAGAGUCUGAACCAGCCAAGUAGCGUGAAGGAUGACUGCCCUAUGGGUUGUAAACUUCUUUUAUAAAGGAAUAAAACGAGGCACGUGUGCCUUUUUGCAUGUACUUUAUGAAUAAGGAUCGGCUAACUCCGUGCCAGCAGCCGCGGUAAUACGGAGGAUCCGAGCGUUAUCCGGAUUUAUUGGGUUUAAAGGGAGCGUAGAUGGGUUGUUAAGUCAGUUGUGAAAGUUUGCGGCUCAACCGUAAAAUUGCAAUUGAUACUGGCAGUCGUGAGUACAGUUGAGGUAGGCGGAAUUCGUGGUGUAGCGGUGAAAUGCUUAGAUAUCACGAAGAAGCCCGAUUGCGAAGGCAGCUUACUAAACUGUGACUGACAUUGAUGCUCGAAAGUGUGGGUAUCAAACAGGAUUAGAUACCCCUGUAGUC